This 251-nucleotide ribosomal RNA is filed under the name uncultured bacterium. Its description in RNAcentral is "partial 16S ribosomal RNA". It matches the Rfam family "Bacterial small subunit ribosomal RNA", at positions 524 to 776 of the family's 1533-position model. The record is from RNAcentral.
AACGUAGGUACCGAGCGUUAUCCGGAUUUACUGGCGUAAAGCGCGUUCAGGCGGUUUGGCAAGUCGGGCAUGAAAUCUCUCGGCUCAACCGGGAGAGGUUGUCCGAUACUGCUGGACUGGAGGCAGUAGAGGGUGGUGGAAUUCCGGGUGUAGUGGUGAAAUGCGUAGAGAUCCGGAGGAACACCAGUGGCGAAAGCGGACCACCUGGACUGCACCUGACGCUGAAACGCGAAAGCUAGGGAGCGAACGGG